GCGUAUCUGAGGUCUUUUAGGGAUGCCCUUCCAGAUGACUGGAAAAAGGAAUUUUGGAAACUACUGUAUUCCUCACUUUGUUGCUUCUACCUUCCAAAUUCUGCUGCUGCUGAGACAGAUAUCUCUGCUCUAACAUGGCCAGUCCUAACUCUGGAAAGCAUGCUUUAAUUUGAGAGUACUGUUGCAUCUAAAAAGACGCAGCUCUUGAGAGAGAAUUUGAAGGAGAAAAAAAAUCAACAAAAGAAAUCUCACGAUUCGGAGAGGAGCCAAACGUUGGAAGGUGAAGGAAAGAUUAAGAAGAAAUUGCCUGUUACAGAACUUCAUUAAAGUCAUUUAUUAGCUUUGUAAUGCCUAAUAGUCUGCUGGCUCCAGAAUUUUUUCAUAUAGGGAAGUGGAUAAGGGAGCAUUUCACUUUCAUUUGCAUUCUUGAUCCCUGCUGCUCUGUUUAUAGCGUUGAUGCUAUUCAUACAGUCUUUGCAAUAUUAAUUUUUAAUUUAUGAUGCUCAUUAGGAGACACUUAAAACAGAACAAUUAUCAUUUAUCUUGAUAUAUUAUUUACUAAGACUUGCUGUCAUGGUUAGGGACUUGUGAUUAGUGGGAGGGGAAUAAAAAGCAGUUCUGAAAGGUGCUUGGCUGAAGGGUUGGGACUUAGGAAGCAGUUGUCAUCACUGAAGGCCUGAAGUUCUGAUGUUUAAGCAAAAGACUUGCAUCACCUAAUCAAAACUCAGGAGGAACCUUUGGAGAUGAGCCUGGGACAGUGCUUAAUGAACCUGCAGAAUAAUAUUAAUGAAACUCACUCGUAAACCACCAGCUCAUCAAUUAUUCAUCCUGCUAUCGUCCUGGUACUUUACUGUCUUCCCUUUUUGUCUCAAUGUGAUUUUUUUUCUUUUUUAAUUCCCUGUACCCUCAUUUUCCUUUUGUGGAUUUGCUGACAUGUACCCAUGGUACCACUUUCUCUCUGGGAAACUGUAUUUCUCAAGGCAGGCACAGCUCUAUACGGGAACAGGAUGGGUAAAUGGUGCUUUUUGAGGCAUUUGGAUAAAUGUGCCACGUUUGUGAAAACUUAAUAAACCAAAUCACUGCUGUGACAGCCCUGGAUAAUCCAAUUUGUUAAAAUCCAUCGUAUUGGAAACUCAGAAUAAUCUAUGCAUUUUUUUUAUUAAUUUGCAGUGUUUGCUAAGUUGUUCCAAACUGUCUGCAUAGAAGCCUAUGUGGUAAAGCAACUUCUAAUGGCAUGACCUAGUAGGAAUACAUAA
Molecule: long non-coding RNA, 1256 nt
Organism: Lagopus muta (rock ptarmigan)
Lineage: Eukaryota; Metazoa; Chordata; Aves; Galliformes; Phasianidae
Exons: 3
Source: RefSeq, a predicted model, not a curated record